CUCCAUGUCGGUGGGAUCCAUCGUUUGGCUCAGACAAGGCUCUUCCUUGACAAAUGGGUCUCAAACAGGACAAAUAUCUGGGCUAUGCUGCUAAAAGAUUCUUUCGAACAUCAUCCAGAAUGAGGGCUUACUCAGCCUCCGAAUGUUCCAAAUCAACAAUCUUAUUGGGAAAGCUAGCAAGGAAGGGAAUUCAACUAGUACCCCCCC
Molecule: long non-coding RNA, 207 nt
Filed under: Elaeis guineensis (African oil palm)
Lineage: Eukaryota; Viridiplantae; Streptophyta; Magnoliopsida; Arecales; Arecaceae
Description: long non-coding RNA (EGUI_LNC001457)
Source: RNAcentral